CCAGACUCCUACGGGAGGCAGCAGUGGGGGAUAUUGCAAAAUGGGGGGAACCCUGAUGCAGCGACGCCGCGUGAGCGAUGAAGUAUUUCGGUAUGUAAAGCUCUAUCAGCAGGGAAGAAAAUGACGGUACCUGACUAAGAAGCCCCGGCUAACUACGUGCCAGCAGCCGCGGUAAUACGUAGGGGGCAAGCGUUAUCCGGAUUUACUGGGUGUAAAGGGGGCGCAGACGGCGAUGCAAGCCAGGAGUGAAAGCCCGGGGCCCAACCCCGGGACUGCUCUUGGAACUGCGUGGCUAGAGUGCAGGAGGGGCAGGCGGAAUUCCUGGUGUAGCGGUGAAAUGCGUAGAGAUCGGGAGGAACACCAGUGGCGAAGGCGGCCUACUGGGCUUUAACUGACGCUGAGGCACGAAAGCGUGGGUAGCAAACAGGAUUAGAUACCCCGGUACAC
Molecule: ribosomal RNA, 447 nt
Filed under: uncultured bacterium
Lineage: Bacteria
Description: partial 16S ribosomal RNA
Rfam family: Bacterial small subunit ribosomal RNA
Source: RNAcentral